UACGUAGGGUGCGAGCGUUAAUCGGAAUUACUGGGCGUAAAGCGUGCGCAGGCGGCGCGUUAAGACAGGUGUGAAAGCCCCGAGCUUAACUUGGGAAUGGCAUUGGAAACUGGCGAGCUGGAGUGUGGCAGAGGGGGGUGGAAUUCCACGUGUAGCAGUGAAAUGCGUAGAGAUGUGGAGGAACACCGAUGGCGAAGGCAGCCCCCUGGGCCAACACUGACGCUCAGGCACGAAAGCGUGGGGAGCAAACAGG
This 253-nucleotide ribosomal RNA is filed under the name uncultured bacterium. RNAcentral describes it as "partial 16S ribosomal RNA". It matches the Rfam family "Bacterial small subunit ribosomal RNA", at positions 524 to 776 of the family's 1533-position model. The record is from RNAcentral.